UACGAAGGGGGCUAGCGUUGCUCGGAAUCACUGGGCGUAAAGGGUGCGUAGGCGGGUCUUUUAAGUCAGGGGUGAAAUCCUGGAGCUCAACUCCAGAACUGCCUUUGAUACUGAGGAUCUUGAGUUCGGGAGAGGUGAGUGGAACUGCGAGUGUAGAGGUGAAAUUCGUAGAUAUUCGCAAGAACACCGGUGGCGAAGGCGGCCAACUGGACCAUUACUGACGCUGAGGCGCGAAAGCGUGGGGAGCAAACAGG
Molecule: ribosomal RNA, 254 nt
Filed under: uncultured bacterium
Lineage: Bacteria
Description: partial 16S ribosomal RNA
Rfam family: Bacterial small subunit ribosomal RNA
Source: RNAcentral